RNA transcript from Dunckerocampus dactyliophorus (ringed pipefish), 5473 nucleotides. It is a transcript of the gene named kelch-like family member 36, with no coding region annotated. The record is from RefSeq and is a predicted model, not a curated record. Lineage: Eukaryota; Metazoa; Chordata; Actinopteri; Syngnathiformes; Syngnathidae. The transcript has 11 exons.
UCAAGUAGUCUGCACCAAGGCUGCACUCCGCAUCCAUACCGCAUCUCUGUGGGUUACGGAAUCUAAACUACAACUGUUGCUGACUUAUUUGGAGACGUUGUUUUAAACUUUGUCAUCAAUGCAAAGCACCGCUUGGACAUUUCUCCCACAACGGCAGCCUGUAAAAUAAUGUCACAACAUGGAUAAUGGAAGCAGUGUGUGUCGGCACCAGCCAGUCAGUGAGUCAUCCAAGGUGUUCUUUUGGGCAGAUCAAGCAGUGGAAUUGUUGCAGGGCCUCAAUGAGCAGCGACAACACAGCCGCUUCUGUGAUGUGGUGCUGGUGGCUGAUGAGCAGUGCAUCCAUGCUCACAGAGCUUUGCUGGCCAUCUCCAGCCCUUACUUUCAUGCCAUGUUCACACUGGGCAUGAGAGAGGAGCAGCAACGAAAGGUGGAGCUGUUGGGUUUGUCAUAUGUUGGUCUGAAAGCAGUAUUGGACUUCCUUUACAGUGGAGAGCUUCCAUUGGAUGGUGGGAAUGUUGAUUCUGUGCUGGAAGCUGCUCACCUCUUGCAGGUGUGGCAAGUGGUGGAUUUCUGCUGCCAGUAUCUGGAGCGGGAGGUGAGCGAAGACAACUACCUGUAUCUGCAGGAGCUGGCGCAGCUCUACAACCUACAGCGCCUCGACACCUUCGUCGACGACUUCAUCCUCACACACUUGGCUAGCCUCUCCAUCACCCCUGACUUUCUUCGUGACAUCCCUUUGCACAAGCUCGCCGCCUACCUCUCCAGGAACCACGUCCAUCACAAUGGUGAGCAGGAGCUGCUUGACACGGCUCUGCGUUGGCUGGGUCAAACUCCUGAGCGGACAACCCAUGCCCAACAACUCCUAUCCCACAUCCGCUUCCCACUGAUGCCAGUUGGGGACCUGGUGAGCCGGGUGCUACCAGCACUGCAAGCACUUUUGCCAGAGGAUGCCAGUUGCAAGGCCCUGGCGGAGGAAGCAUUGGCGUACCACAGAGCCGAGAACCAAAGCAGGCAACCACUUCUGCAAACGGAACACACCGUGUUGAGGGGAGGAGUAGAAUGCCUUCUACUGACUGGUGGAGAGGUGUCAGAGCGAGGAGAGGAGCUCAGUGCUAAUGUUUGCCGGCUAAAUGGUGACGAUUGGGAGAUAGAAACCGAGCUUCCAGCCCAGCAAAGCCACCACUGCCUGGCCGUGCUCGGAGGUUUUAUCUUUGCUGCAGGUGGCAGUUUGUCCAGGGACAACGUUGGAGAUGCUGCAUGUAACCAGCUGUACAGAUAUGAUCCCCGCCACAACCAGUGGACCAACGGCGCUCCAAUGAAUACACCCCGGGUGGAUUUUUACCUUGCAGCAGUGGGGGACUGCUUGAUUGCCGUGGGUGGAAGGAAUGGCUUGGGAACGUUGUCCUCUGUGGAGCGAUACUGCCCUGCUGACGACUGCUGGUCCUUUGUGGCAGGACUGCCAAGGUUGACAUACGGCCAUGCUGGCGCGGUUCACCACGGUGUGGUCUACAUUUCCGGUGGACACGAUUAUCAGAUCGGACCGUACCGUAAAGAUGUCUUGUAUUAUGAUCCAUCACGGGAUGUUGAUGCGUGGGUUGAAUGCCCAGCCAUGUCUUUGGCUCGGGGCUGGCACUGUAUGGCCUCCAUCAACAACCUCAUCUACGCCAUCGGGGGUAGCAAUGACCACGAGGUUACCGAUGAACGCUUUGACAUCCUUCAGGUGGAGUCCUACAACCCACGCAGCCGCCAGUGGACGCAGGUGGCACCACUCUUGUUGCCAAAUAGCGAGGCGGGUCUUGCAGUUUGGGCUGGGAAGGUUUACGUACUUGGUGGCUACAGCUGGGAAACCAUGACCUUCUCCAGGACCACUCAAGUGUAUGAUCCUAAUAAAGAUGUGUGGUCCAGAGGGCCGGACUUACCCAAACGCAUCGCGGGGGCCUCUGCUUGUGUGUGCACCAUUAAGCCCCCUUUGACAUCGCUGUCUCCAGAGGGGAACGAAAGAUCGUCCAACCAAGUUGAGAGAUCAUCAAGAACUUUGUCCAAAAAUGUCAAGGCCUGACUUGUGGCUGACAUAUAUAGUGUAUGUCUUUGUCUCCUCCACAUGCAUCCUUCUGUCUCCCAGAAGCAGUGCAACACAGGACACAAGAAGCUGUAGUUGUAAUGUCAUGUAAUUUAAUGGUAUUCAUUUAUUUAUUGUGUGUUCUGUACAAAACAAAGACAAGCACUGCAUCAAAUCAUCCAUUCUGCACACCAUUUGCGAUAUACAGUCGUCCAUCGCUGCAUUGCGUUUUUUCAAACAAUUAAUAAAUGAUCGCUGUUUUGUAGGGGUGCAAGGAUACACAAAAUUCACGGUUCAGUUCAAUACAUUGGUGUUACGGUUCGAUACUUUUUCGAUACAAAAAAUAAAUUACCUUGCCCUUUUUUAAUUUUAAUUUGAUUGAAAUUGCCAAGAUUUUUCCCAUUUUUCAACAUUUUCAGAAUGGUAUUAAUGUGGGAGGCGGAGCUCAGUGACUCUGUGCUUGACAGUGCAAACCAAGCCAGGGUAGUCGAUCACAAAUACGCUGAGCUUUCAUCACAGAGCGCCGUCAGAAGUUGAUAAAAUAAAUAAACUGCGUAUUAUUCGAUACAGGGGCCACGGUUCGGUACACGUGUAUUGAACGGUUCCAUACAAAUAUACGUAUUGUUGCACCCCUACUGUUUUGUAGUUGACUCUGGCAUAUUAUUGUUUAAGCAAAUUGUUCAUAUUUUUUUGCCCAAAUUAAGCAUUUUCAACCAUAAAAAUGGCUAAAUGCACUAAAAUACAACUAUUUUAUGAGCCACUAAGACCUCAACUUGUGAGUGAAGUGCUCUACAUUGGUCACUAGGUGUCAGUAAUUGUGCGGUGAGACGACCACUAAAAGCACCAGACUUGAACAACAGGCACAACAAUAACAUAAUUCUCAUAACAAUAACACUGUUUACUGUUGCGGCAAUAGCCGACAACAAGCUUAAAUCUCAACUCUGAACCCCCGAGGUAUAUCAAUUCUGCUCCCCUACAAGUUAUUUUCUCUGAUUAUAUCUACUUUUUGGGUAAUACAGUACGGAUGUAAAAGUGACUAUAUGGGUGUUAUUUCAUGCCUAGAUGGCUCUAAUAAUGUUUAAAAAAAAACAUUUAGUGCCAUAAGAAAGAAAAUAUUCCAUUUCUAAAGAAAGAGUCCUACUUUAACUCACUUAUCACGGUUGAGUCUGGAAGCAGUUAACCGUGAUAAACUAGGGAUUUCUGUAAUGCCAUCCUUUUCAUCAUUUUGUUUCUUUGAAGCAACCAACUUUUCCUUCCAGUCUAUCCAUUUGUUUACGAAGUGAAGCGUUUUCAUUCUUCAAUGCUUAUGUCGACUUCGACGGGUUCCACUGCAUACUGUAUGUACAAGUAUGUACCCUGAUGGACAGUUUUGAUAGAAUUUUGUUUAGGCUCACAUAUGCCUGCUAAUUGAUUCAGUCGACCACCAUCUAUUUGAAUUGAUUGACUGCCCUGACUGGUAUUAACAACCUUGUAUUAAUAACCACCUCACAUUAAGUCAAAUGUUCUAGUGUUGCCGGGAGAUUACAAUAUUAUAUGUUAAGUAAAGUAUCAUUUUACAGAUCACCUUUCAAAGUCCAAUGUGCAUUUUUCCAGGAGAGGAGAGAAAUUUUGGGACAAAAGUCGGUUUAUAGAAUCAGUAAUAUACACUCCCAAAUAUUUAAGUCCGUCUAUGGCAUAUUUGAAAGAAAAGAAAGAAUGUGGUAUAUUUUUGGCACAAAAAUUGAGGGGGAGGAGUUGGCUUUUGUGGAGAUUGAGUUUGUAACCAGAGUAGGACCCAAAGAUUGUAAAUGACAUGUUUACGUUCUUUAUGCUCAGUUAUUCACUCAUUUAUUUUGAAGAAUGUAGUCCUGCCACCGGAUGUUGGCAUGCUCUUAUUUUGGCGGAACGUUUUUUUUUCUUUUCCUGUGUCAAAAGGUUAACUUCGCUAAUGGUGAUUGCAACCCCACGCAAAAAGUGCUCACAUAUUUUCUCAGUUUCAACCUGGCUGGUGGUAGGCUAAUGUGGAAGACUACCUCGUGUUUAAGCUAGCGCCCUUGGAAGGCGAAAUGAGUUUUCACGGUGCUUAUGGUGCUUAUGGUGCUUAUGGUGCUCAAGGUGCAAGAACUGAGCCGGAAGAAUAAAGGCACCCGUUUGAAACUCCACGUCUGACUAAUUCAUUCCAAGAGGCCGCUACAAAGAUUUCAAGAACCAGCAUGUAAUGACAAUCGACAAUUACACUGAACUUUUCCAGCUCGGUUAAUAACCUCAAACCCACUCUCUUGACGCAGCCAGAUGGCUCAAGGCUCAAUUUCUAUGGCAAAUAAAAGGGGGGAAAGAGGGCAACCGAAAAGAGGAAAUGAGACUGAGGCUAUGAACCUGUGUAGAGCAAUUUGUAAAACAAAAAAAGAGGAAGUGCCACUGCACUUUUAUCGAAGGCGUUCUCCGCGUCCAAUGACAAUCACCUCUGGUGGAUUCAAACUAGGUGAGCAGAUGAUCUUUAAGGGCCUCCUCGUAUUGUGAAAGGAGUGCCUUCCAAGCAUAAAUCUGCUUUGAACAGGUGAUUAUAACACUUGGUUAGACCCGUUGUAAGCGUGGGGCUAGAACGAAUUUCGAAAGAAUUUUCAGAUCAACAUUCAAAAGGGGACUCGGCCGGUAUGCUGCCGCACACAAGCGGGUCCUUGCCAUAAGCAGGAGAGAAUUGAUUUUUUUAUUUAGGCUUUACUUAUCCAGGUAAGGUAGUUGACCUGGCCGAGAGGCAUCAGACAGAAGUAAAAAAAAGCAAAAUAAUAGUAAAUACAGGUGGGCAGACGUUGUCUAUGUCCUAUGUACAGUGUGAUUUAGUUACCUCAUAGCACCUGAAUAAAAAAAAUAAAAGUUCAAAAACAGGUGCAACGGUCAUGCACAAUUUCCCAACUUUUUAAAUGAUGAUAAAGUCCAAAUAUUAAGAGAAAAAUAGUAAUAUUGAAACAACAAAAUUUGCAAUUUUAUGGGAAUAAACUUUUAAUAUGAUGAGGAAAAAAUGUCAUUUUCGAGCAUAGAGUUGAAAUACUAAAAUGUUUUUAUUUUUGAAAAAGUCUAACUAUAAUGCAAAACAAACCAAACAAAAUAAUGUUAGAAUUUUUGGGAAAUCCUGCAUAAUUCGGAAGAUGCCGUGGAUUUACUCGUCAAAAUGGAGGGCCCUCCAUCCUCGUUCCAAUCCCCGCAGUACUCUCAUGUCUUCUUGGCUCAGACAGAAGUCAAAGAUCUGUGCAGAACAACACCAGUAUGGAGAGCUUUUAAAAACAGCGCAGCAAUACUCAUGUUGAAAAGAUGCAUCAUGAACCAUUAUGCCUGGAACUUCAUUACCCAUAAUCCUACCUUCAACCCUUUUGACUUUAUUAUGUUGUAUACAGUGGUGCGAAAAAGUGUUUGCCUCCUUCCUGAUUUAUUUUUUUU